Molecule: transfer RNA, 69 nt
Filed under: Orobanche cernua var. cumana
Lineage: Eukaryota; Viridiplantae; Streptophyta; Magnoliopsida; Lamiales; Orobanchaceae
Description: tRNA-Gly
Rfam family: tRNA
About the family: Transfer RNA (tRNA) molecules are approximately 80 nucleotides in length. Their secondary structure includes four short double-helical elements and three loops (D, anti-codon, and T loops).
Source: RNAcentral
GGAUAUAGUUUAAUGGUAAAAUUUCUCUUUGCCAAGGAAAAGACGCGGGUUCGAUUCCCGCUAUCCACC